RNAcentral lists this ribosomal RNA (253 nucleotides) under uncultured bacterium. RNAcentral's name for it is "partial 16S ribosomal RNA". It matches the Rfam family "Bacterial small subunit ribosomal RNA", at positions 524 to 776 of the family's 1533-position model. The record is from RNAcentral.
AACGUAGGAGACGAACGUUAUCCGGAGUUACUGGGCGUAAAGGGCGUGUAGGCGGUUUGUUAAGUCUGGCGUGAAAGCUCUCGGCUAAACCGGGAGAGGUCGUUGGAUACUGGCGAACUAGAGGAUGGUAGAGGCGUGUGGAAUUCCGGGUGUAGUGGUGAAAUGCGUAGGGAUCCGGAGGAACACCAGUGGCGAAGGCGACACGCUGGGCCGUACCUGACACUGAUACGCGACAGCAUGGGGAGCGAACGGG